RNAcentral lists this ribosomal RNA (1491 nucleotides) under Escherichia coli. Its description in RNAcentral is "partial 23S ribosomal RNA". It matches the Rfam family "Bacterial large subunit ribosomal RNA", at positions 1292 to 2766 of the family's 2925-position model. Lineage: Bacteria; Pseudomonadati; Pseudomonadota; Gammaproteobacteria; Enterobacterales; Enterobacteriaceae. The record is from RNAcentral.
GAAUGCUGACAUAAGUAACGAUAAAGCGGGUGAAAAGCCCGCUCGCCGGAAGACCAAGGGUUCCUGUCCAACGUUAAUCGGGGCAGGGUGAGUCGACCCCUAAGGCGAGGCCGAAAGGCGUAGUCGAUGGGAAACAGGUUAAUAUUCCUGUACUUGGUGUUACUGCGAAGGGGGGACGGAGAAGGCUAUGUUGGCCGGGCGACGGUUGUCCCGGUUUAAGCGUGUAGGCUGGUUUUCCAGGCAAAUCCGGAAAAUCAAGGCUGAGGCGUGAUGACGAGGCACUACGGUGCUGAAGCGACAAAUGCCCUGCUUCCAGGAAAAGCCUCUAAGCAUCAGGUAACAUCAAAUCGUACCCCAAACCGACACAGGUGGUCAGGUAGAGAAUACCAAGGCGCUUGAGAGAACUCGGGUGAAGGAACUAGGCAAAAUGGUGCCGUAACUUCGGGAGAAGGCACGCUGAUAUGUAGGUGAAGCGACUUGCUCGUGGAGCUGAAAUCAGUCGAAGAUACCAGCUGGCUGCAACUGUUUAUUAAAAACACAGCACUGUGCAAACACGAAAGUGGACGUAUACGGUGUGACGCCUGCCCGGUGCCGGAAGGUUAAUUGAUGGGGUUAGCGGUAACGCGAAGCUCUUGAUCGAAGCCCCGGUAAACGGCGGCCGUAACUAUAACGGUCCUAAGGUAGCGAAAUUCCUUGUCGGGUAAGUUCCGACCUGCACGAAUGGCGUAAUGAUGGCCAGGCUGUCUCCACCCGAGACUCAGUGAAAUUGAACUCGCUGUGAAGAUGCAGUGUACCCGCGGCAAGACGGAAAGACCCCGUGAACCUUUACUAUAGCUUGACACUGAACAUUGAGCCUUGAUGUGUAGGAUAGGUGGGAGGCUUUGAAGUGUGGACGCCAGUCUGCAUGGAGCCGACCUUGAAAUACCACCCUUUAAUGUUUGAUGUUCUAACGUGGGCCCCUUACCGGGGUUGCGGACAGUGUCUGGUGGGUAGUUUGACUGGGGCGGUCUCCUCCUAAAGAGUAACGGAGGAGCACGAAGGUUGGCUAAUCCUGGUCGGACAUCAGGAGGUUAGUGCAAUGGCAUAAGCCAGCUUGACUGCGAGCGUGACGGCGCGAGCAGGUGCGAAAGCAGGUCAUAGUGAUCCGGUGGUUCUGAAUGGAAGGGCCAUCGCUCAACGGAUAAAAGGUACUCCGGGGAUAACAGGCUGAUACCGCCCAAGAGUUCAUAUCGACGGCGGUGUUUGGCACCUCGAUGUCGGCUCAUCACAUCCUGGGGCUGAAGUAGGUCCCAAGGGUAUGGCUGUUCGCCAUUUAAAGUGGUACGCGAGCUGGGUUUAGAACGUCGUGAGACAGUUCGGUCCCUAUCUGCCGUGGGCGCUGGAGAACUGAGGGGGGCUGCUCCUAGUACGAGAGGACCGGAGUGGACGCAUCACUGGUGUUCGGGUUGUCAUGCCAAUGGCACUGCCCGGUAGCUAAAUGCGGAAGAGAUA